AGCUGAAAUCACUUAUUCCGCCA
RNAcentral lists this non-coding RNA (23 nucleotides) under Arabidopsis thaliana (thale cress). The record is from RNAcentral. Lineage: Eukaryota; Viridiplantae; Streptophyta; Magnoliopsida; Brassicales; Brassicaceae.